Molecule: long non-coding RNA, 8430 nt
Filed under: Sus scrofa (pig)
Lineage: Eukaryota; Metazoa; Chordata; Mammalia; Artiodactyla; Suidae
Description: lncRNA (ENSSSCG00000056759.1)
Source: RNAcentral
AAAAAAUCCUCACAAUAUGAACAGCAUAAGGAUUUGAGGACUUCUCUGUUCCACCAUCAUUACAAAUUUUGCAUCAGGUCAUUGCAGAUCUUGCUUUGGGUAUUUAGUAUGCAACAUCUCUGCAGCGAACCUCAUUUAUCAUUUUUUAUCAAUGCUUAUAUAUGAAACUGCAGAAUUCCUUUGGUCUGGGCCAAACAGGAAUGAAUGGGAAGCCUUUCUUCUAUCCCCCUGUUCUUCCAACUCAGGGAAGUCCUAGGAAGGAAGCUUCUACUUCUCUUAGCUAGUAGUUUCCUCCUGUGGGAGAUACUGGAUGUCUAGAAGCUCAUAUUUGUUUGGCCAUAUUUUAAAUUGCAGAGUUAUUUUUGGCUUUUAAAGUUGUCCAUUGCCUCCAUCCCAUUUCUCUUUCACUGCCUUCCUCAUGAAUCUUUAAGAGGACCAAGAGCUAUCUUCAGUGUCUCUCUGCAGGUGGUAAGCUUCUCUGCUUAAAAGUGGGUAAGAAUACGGACAAGAAAUCUACUCUCCAGAGAAAUUCUAACCUUGGGUAGAUCCUAAAAUCUGUAUAAAAUGGCGUGGUUAUUGUAGUCUUAAACUCAAGUUAUAUUUUCUAGUCCAGCUUUGACCAUAGAGCACAUACAUUGAGGCUAUUGGAUGUUGGAGGCCACAAAUAGAGUUGGUCCCAGUUAAGAAGCAACAACAAAGGAAGGUACACUUAGCUAGAGAAAAAGUAAGGUCUUGGGAAAGAGUUUUUUCUUGCUGCAUCUUAUUAUUCAUUAACUUAGAGGCAACCUGAUUAACCAUUAAUCUAUUUGUCAUUUUUAUAGUUUCAUCUUUUCCAGCAUGUCAAAUGAUUGGAAACAUGCAGUAUAUAGGCUUGUCAAAUGGACUUCUUUCUCUUAGAAAUAAGCACUUAAGAUUCAUCUACAUCUUUUCAUAGCUUUGAAGCUCCUUUAUGCUUACCAUUGAAUAAUACUAUAUUGUAUGGAUGUACCACUUUUUUUCCUGUUUACAUAUUGAAGGACACUUUAGUUGCUUCCAGGUUGGAGUUAUUAUGAAUACAACUACUAUAAAUAUUUGUAUGCAGUUUUUUUAUGUAAGGACACACGUUUUAAAAUAAGUUGAGUAAAUGCAUAGGAGCAUGAUUACCUGAUGCCAUAGCAAGAUUUUUUUUUUUUAGUUUUAUAAGAAACUACAAAAUUGUCUUUCAAAAUAAUUGCUUCAUUUUGCAUUCCCACCAGCAAAAAAUGAGAGUUUCUGUUACUUAGCAUCCUGGCCAGCAGUUGGCACUGUCCAUUAUUUGGAUUCUGGCCAUUCACAUAGGUAUGUCGUAGGAUUUUUUAUGAAAGAAAAAUAUACAUACAAUUGUUGGUUGCCCAAUGAGACCUUGUUCUACUAGUUUUUUUAGAAUAAAGGCUUAGAAAGCUCUAUAUCAAAAUGUCUAGCUAUGGAUACAUGCCAGGCUUGUGGAAGUCACUUCUAGGAUUUUGCCAGGAUCUUGACAUAAACUGGAAAAAUCCAGCUUCUUUCUCCUCAGCUAACCCAGACUUGAGUUUAAAAACUCAAUGGCAUAUCAACACCAGGAAGGUAUAUUCUUCAAUGAAGUGCACCCCAUAAGGGACAAUAAUGGCGGGUAGCAUGGCAAACUGGGAUAGGCAUGCCUUGUCCAAAUUUGGAAUAAUUACUCUGUUCCAACUUUUUGUUGCCACAGGAAAUCAAUCAUAGUAGGAAUAAAUCUAUUUAUUUUCUAAGAUAUUUAGUAAUCUGAAUUUUGUAUGAAAUCUCUUGAUGUUUAAAUGUGGGAUCUAAUUAAAAAUACCUUUGAAAUACUCUUCAGGGAAAACAGAAACUCAAGCCUCUAGGCUGCACCACUGAUCGAGCCAUUCGUAAAUAAAGCAUAGCUUACACUAGAAAAUAUUUUUAAAAGGGUUUUCAAUCUUGGAUGUUUUGUGGCAUGGAUUAUAUUUUAAAAAAUAGUUCUGAAAAAGUACCAGAGAAAUGCAAUGGACAUCAGAUAGAAAAACGUUUCAGUGCUAUAAGCAAGAGAUUAUAUCACUUGGACUAGAGUUUUGGCAGUGCAGAUGGAUGGAAUUAAACAAUUUUGUGAACUUUGAGGAGUAGAUUCAUUUGAUGAUGGGUCAGAUAAAGAUAGGCUAGAUUAGAGGAGGGACAUUUGUCAAAAUUAAUUCUACAUGUUUUUACAAUGAACUAAGAGGAUAGAUAUAAUGUUUACUGAGAUAUAGAUAGAUAUAAUGUUUACAGAAAACUGGAAGAGAAGCAAGAGGAAAUUUCAUUAAAAUGGAAGAAAGAAAAGGUAUAUUGUAUUAUUAUCAUCUCCAUUUUACAGGUAAGGUAACUGAGAACUUGAGAGACUAAGUAACUUGCCAAAAGUCACACCAAAAAGUAUAUGUAUGCACAUAUGUAUAUAUGCAUAAGGAAAUCAGACUCAGGACUUCUGAUUCUUAACUCAGGAUUUCCAUUGGCGUCUCAUGAUCCCUAAUGUGUCUUCAUUGUUUUGACCUGAAGUGAGUAAUAGAAGGAGUUGCUGAAUGAUUUUUUUUAGGUGCAAUGCUUGGUGGAAAACAUAGUGUCCCAUUGACCUCAGAUGGCCUAUAAACUGGAAAGGUAAUGAAGAAUCAUAAGUACUUAUCCACAGCCAAGUUUACAGAAGGAAAUGAUAUUAAUGGAGUGAAGAUUUACAGGUUUAUAAACCUACUCUAUGCUGUGAAGGAAAGGAAAGAUAGUGAAGAAAGUGAUAAAAUAAUUGCCUGAGGUAUUAAACUGCUAGUGCAAGACAACUGUAAGUCAUGUUUUUAUUUAUCUGUACUGAUGAAUGUCUAAGAUGUUUUAGAGAUUAACAUUGGGCCUCUUCUGCACUGUCUGGCUUCUACAUUUCUAAGUUAUAAUCAGAUAAUUGCUCUCAUGAUUGGUAUGGGGACUGAUAGGGACAAAAAUGUGCUAUAAGAGAGAGAUUUACAAAGCAGCUGAAUGGAAGAUGAGGAAAUAAGUAGGAAAAGUCCCUAAUCUGAGAAGUGGCUUCUCUUCUGGUGUCUUUUCUGGAAACAUGUAGCUAGCCUGAUUCCCUAAAGUGAGUGCUUCAGACAUUGUAGAGAGUCUCUCUGCCACUAAUACGGGUAGUAAGUCUAGACAUCUCACUCAGCAGGUGGGUAUAAGAGCUGAUUUGAGUUUAUUGUAAAUAUCUACUCAAUAAUGAACGAGAGUGCUUCAGCAGGAAGAGAUGAGAGGAGAUGAUUCUUUUUUUUCAGAUACAUACUUUCAUCAGCUAUUUGAAGGUGGAGGGUGAGCUCCUAAGACUGUGGAUUGAUUGAUGUCCAGAAAUCAGGAAAGAUAGCUACUUUGGAAAUGAACCGUAUGCCUGCAUCCUAGCAAAGGAGAGGGAGAGAGAGGGAGGGAGGAGCAAGGGGAAGAGGAAACUGUUGCCUAAAAUGAAAUAAAUAGUUGAGAGACAUUUCAAGAGAAGGAGUGUCUAAUACUUAAUUUGUCAUUAUUAUCAUAAUCAUGGAAAACAACUUCCCCCUGUGCCGGCUCCUCAAUGUCAGUAAAAUCUCCUAUUCAGCUUUGUUAGUUUUCUGGUGCUUCUUUAACAAAGUACCACAAAAGUGAGUGGCUAAAACGACAGAGAUUUAUUGUCUCACAGUUCUGGAGGAUAGAAGUAUAAAAUCAAAAGGUUUCAGAACCCACCUUCAAAGAGCUGUGAUGUUGAAUCUAUUUCAUUUCUCUCUCUUAGCUUCUGGUAACCUCAGGUAUUCCUUGGUUUGUAGGUGUUGAUUUUCCUAUGUUUUCACAUCAUCUUCCCUCUCUGUGUUAUUGUUUUGACCAUCUGCAAGGACUCUAUACUCAAAUGUCAUAAACUGGUACUAUGGGUUAGCGUUCCGAUAUCUUUUUUUUUCUUAGUGGAGGAGACAACACAGAAGAACAAUAAAAAUCUGAUCUGUAUCUUCUAUUUUUGUAUUCCUUCAUUUGUUCAGUGGUCCAUUUAUUGUUGGAGUAAGAUGAAGAGAUUGUGAUAUCAAGGAAAGGUGAUAUAUUCUACACCAGAGUUAACAUGUUGAAUAACAAGGGUAGCACUGAGGGGAUGAUGGUAUGGUUUAAAAAAAAAUAAGGAAAAAAGAAAUAAGCAAACUCCAGUGUACUCUCAGGCACUGGAGGGCAGGACCGUGAACUGUGCAUAGACACUGUACCAUGGAGGUGCUGCAAAGCUGCAGGAGCUAUGAGUGGGGGAAGGAAACCCAACUGAGAGGAAAUCCAUGAAGCUAUAUACACAAUCCGUCUGCAAUCUUGAAAUGUCAGAUAUCUCUCUACUUACUUAUACUUGCAUAUUACUUGAAGUCAGUAAUGUGAAUAGAAUCUGCAUAGAUUUUAUGAAAGCACGUUUUCUCAGAAGCAUGGCUAGAACUAUUUGCAUGUCAACCUUUUUUUAAAAAAAAAAACAAAACUAUGAACCAACUUAUCGAAGACCACUGAAUAUGUUUUAAAAGUAGAAUCCUGGAACUGUAAUGAGAAGUGUCUCUUUUUUUCUGACUAUGGGAAAUGAUUAUGGAUAUUUCUUAGGAAACUUUGCUUGUGCCAACAGAAUUCCGUUUGAAUCAUGUGGAAGCUAAGAUUUGGAAAGAAUGAGAAUACGCAAACACGCUGGGAAGCUGAGAUAUCUAUUUCCCUGGUAGUGAUCAAGCUCAUUGCCAGAGCUUCCCAAAUCUUUUCUGGAGCUAAAGACUCUAGAGAACGUAAUGUAGACAUCUCCUCUCCACAGUAGCAUUCUUCUUAGUGUUUGGAAGUAAGAGUUCCAGGAGAGAGUCCAGACUCCAAGGGUGAAGAAGAAUGUUGAGAGACAAAGCUGGGUUUCAAACUAGUGUCCUAGACAAAUGAAAAUAUAAGAAACUUUCCUUGGGUUUUGAAGAGACCCAGUAUGGAACUUAUCACCAUAGAGGAGAGGGUGGGAAGAACUAUCUCCAUAUUUAGUAAGAAAAUGAGGGUGGAAGUUUUCUAAUUGGUCAAAUGAGGAAGAUGGGAAGGCCAUCAUCUGUAUAGGUGGAAAAAAUUCCUAUUUUUCAUGACAUUAUGUUAUGUGGGAAACUCAAACUCCUUGGAAAUAUUGGAAAGCUAGGAAGUGACAAUCACACGGAGAAGGAUGUUUGAGCCAGUUUCAUUAGAAAUGGAAAAAGACAGGAUAUCUCACUUGAUAUCUGGGUUAAUCAAAUGUGGACUGUCCACUUGGUUGCCAUGUUUUAGUUAGUAACUGUCCUGAAGGGAGGCCAUCAGGAAAACCCAGAAGUAGAGAGAAUGACCCAGAACACUACCAUCAGGAUCUUAAGAAUUCAGUUCAGGAAAUAGGAUAUCCUCAUUUCUUUCCUGGAGAAGCCAAGUGCUGCUGUGGGAGGAGCUCAGAUGUUGCAGGGUCAAAACGUGGGUUUGAAUCCUAUUCCUGCCAGGCCAAUUAGUCUAGUAUUUGUGUCUCACUCUCCUCACCUGUAAAAUACAAGAUUUUUGUCAAAAUUAAUAUAUGUAUGUAAAGCUCAUGGCAAGUACUCAACUGUUGCUGAUAUCAUCUCAUUGUUUCUCCAGGGUGCCUUGCACAUAAUAAGAGUUCUGUAUGAUUUAUAAUAGCUUAAACAUGACACAUUUACCCUUGGGUGUACACUUGUUUGGGCUUGUCUCCAAAGUCUAGUCUAAGCAUCACUGUCCUCAGCGGUCCUGCUAUUUCCUUCUUUCUCCUCUCAGGACAGUCAAGUGUAGUGGUUCAGAGCGCAGGCUUAGGUAUUAACCUGCCUGCAUUUGAUUCUAGGUCUCCCACUUAUACUCUGUAUGUCCUGGACAAGUAUCUUUGCCUCUCUUUGUCUCAUUUUCUAUAUCUUUAAAAUGAAGAUUAUAACAAUCCUAGAAUCCUUUGAAAAGACGAAAUGGAUAGAUGUGAGUGCUCAAUAAAUUUUUAUUUUUGCUGUAGGUUUUCUUCAUACACUAAUCAACUAAGAGAUAGUUCCUUUGACAUCAAAGACAGAGGAGUGCCAGGGAGAGGGUGAACAUACAUAUUUCUCCCACACUGUGCUUAAAAAGCUACUGGAUUGAUCUGAACCCACCUCCCAUUUACAAAAGAGCUAUGGAGUACACUGUUUAUGAAAACUACUCGAGGUCUGAUGGAGGCCAAGCCAAACUGGCUCAUGGUAAGCCACCAUGCUCCAAUUAUUAUUCAUGUACUAAGAGUUUCCUGUAGGUCAGGGUCAAGCCUAAGUAUCCUGUCAUUCUCAGGAUAUUUAUGCAGUACAGGGUCAUAUUCAUAGAAUGAUCAUUCAUUCAUUCAUCAAAUAUUUAUUGAGCACUGAUCUUUCCAGGCAGCAAGUGUGUAGAAAAUGAGCUUGAGAAGCCAUAUUAGAGAAGGGUAGGAGUCAAAUGGGAAGGGACAGAGUCUCAUGUCCAUGUCUCAUUGUCCUUGUUCAUAACAAUGACAGUGAACAGAGUGGAAGUAGUUAUAGGAAAUGCAGCAUCCUGGACAAGCCACAUGCAGAUUCAUAAGAGAAUUCUGGGCAGUGAGUUUCUGCCUGGCUGGGGGUCAGGGGUGGGUCAUUGAUAAUGUUUCUUGAGGCUUACCUCCUUCUCACACAGACCACUUUGUCUUCUGUUUUAUUUAAGAUAGGAUGUAUGCCAAGAGGGGAAGCAAGGUUUAAGUACAGCUCAGAAUAGAAAGUGAGAUCUAUACUUGGCUGCAGGCCACUCUUGCUGCUCUUCCUUUGGGUGCUGCUCUCAUUGGCUGGGCUUCCUGUCUGCCAGGGUGGCCUCAAGGUUACAGCUCUCAGUUCCAACACUUGUUUACUUGCUGAAUGUUGAGUAGAGGAAUUGAGUGCAUGCUCUCCUUGCAUACCACCUUCCCACACUUUGGGGUCCUCUAAAUGAAUGCUAUCUAUAUUCUCCUCUUUUUGAAAACUGUUCUUUUUAAAAACUGUUCUCUAAAGAAAACAAAACAAAGAAACCUGUAAUCUCAUACCUGUGUAUAGACUUUGCUGACUUUAUGAUGGACUCUCACACUCAUUGUAUUUUUAUCCAUACAAGACUAAACCAAGUAGGGAAUUUAUAACUAUCUCCAUGGAUCACUGCUGUUUGCAAGCGCAGUGCUGUACAGAAACAUUCUUGUGCUAUCUCAGAUUGUGUUAUACUCAGAGUUGAAGACCCAAUAAAUGGUAGAGUCAUGACUGGAAACCAUAUUGCAUGCUUUCUACCCCAUUCUUCUUACUAACUACUCCAAGUCCUUGUCAGAAUAUUUUUAGACAGAAGAGAGAUGAAUGCACACCCUCACUGGCCCCAUUGAUUUAAUAGGUCCAGUUAGAAAAUAGCACCCUGAAGGGGUAUAAUCAGUCUUAGAAGAUAUUCCUACUACCUCUUGACUUAAGCGCACACCUUUCAAAUUCCUUAUUUAUAUUAUAACACAGUUGAUGGAGCCUCUUUUGUUUCUCCUGCCUAAGGGUAAUCCAUUCUUAAUAUUUCUCAGCUUAUUUUUCUCUGAGGUCCUCACUGUCUCCUGAUGUUGAUUCUUCCGCAUAUAGGGAAGGAGAAAAGAUAUAAAUUAAAUUAUCUCCUCUUCCCCUCCUCUGUAUACAAUAACAUCCUCUUUAUGGGACUAUUAUCAUCUGCAUUUUAACUCACAUGAAUUUUACCCAAUUUAAGCGUUUCCUCACUUAAAUUCUAUUUGCCCCUCCAGUUAUUACUAUAUCUCUUCCCUAUUAUAGCCAAAUUUUUGAUAGAAACUUUAUCUACUUCCUUGGUGACUCAUCCCGUACCUCUCUGUAUUCUGGAUUUGAUGCCUAAUAUUCCAGCUCAAGUGGCUUUUCUGAGGUUAUUACCUACUCCUGUGUUGAGGAGCCAGUGAGUACGUUUUAGUGUUUAUAUUACCUGAUCUCUCUGAAGCAUCAGUGGACCAGACCUCUCUUUGUGACAUCCUUGCAGAUCAUUUGUCUUCAAAUCUUCAUAUAGUUCUUCUUAUACACUUAUUGAAUGAAUGGUUUCUGAAUGGCACCUACAUGCCAGGUGCUAGUCUUGGAACCAUAGAUUUUGCCAUAUUUCAGUGCCUUGAUCUUUAAUUACAAGAUGAGUAUGUAUGGGGGUACUCAUGGAAAUUCAAAAGGAAAUAUCAGCUGGGUAAUGUAAUAAAGCCGACAUCUUUGUGGUUGUUUCUGUUCACAGAAGCUGAAAAUUUAUAUAUUGUCGGUGGGAAACUUUGGUGGCCCUUGUUAUGAAAACGAUGUAGAAUCUGCUUAAUCACCAAAUGGAAGGUUCCUAAUGUCACUCUUUACACUUUUCUCUAGGUUUUUAUCUUAAAUAUUCAUAAGCCUAAAAGAUGACUUUAUGUUGGAAUGAGAACUGUCACUAUGUGAUCUCGGAUUGCCGGAAGAAGAACAUUUAGACCAGAGAUUAAUUUGAAAAUUUUUG